UACGUAGGGUGCGAGCGUUGUCCGGAAUUACUGGGCGUAAAGAGCUCGUAGGUGGUUUGUCGCGUUGUUCGUGAAAUCUCACGGCUUAACUGUGAGCGUGCGGGCGAUACGGGCAGACUAGAGUACUGCAGGGGAGACUGGAAUUCCUGGUGUAGCGGUGGAAUGCGCAGAUAUCAGGAGGAACACCAGUGGCGAAGGCGGCUAACUGGUCCGAUACUGACGCUGAGGUGCGAAAGCGUGGGGAGCAAACAGG
Molecule: ribosomal RNA, 253 nt
Filed under: uncultured bacterium
Lineage: Bacteria
Description: partial 16S ribosomal RNA
Rfam family: Bacterial small subunit ribosomal RNA
Source: RNAcentral